RNAcentral lists this long non-coding RNA (642 nucleotides) under Brassica napus (rape). RNAcentral's name for it is "long non-coding RNA (BNAP_LNC023223)". The record is from RNAcentral. Lineage: Eukaryota; Viridiplantae; Streptophyta; Magnoliopsida; Brassicales; Brassicaceae.
AUAAUUAGAAUGAAAUUUUAUUUAUUAAUUAAAAUCAGUUUACAAAUAAAAUCAGUUUUACAAAACUAAACCAAAAAGUAAAAAAAAAAGUAAACCAUAACAAAUUAAACCAAACACUAGGUAAACACACAUUAAACCAAAACCUAAUUAACCAAUCCUAAACCUAAUCCGCCUCCUUCCUCAAGCACCACCGCAUCUACUACGUCUUGCUUCCGCGUCCUCGUGCUUCAUGCCUCAGGCUCAAAACACCUUUCUCUGAACCACAUCUACCUCUGCCUCCGUGUCUGGUUCGUCACUACCACCAUCUCCGCCGCAUCGUCUUCUCCCGCUGUCAUCUCCGCGCCACCUCCGCUGCAUCUUCUUCUUCCUUCUUCAUGACAUUGUCUCCUUUCACGCCUUCAUCUUCGCCACCGAACCAGAGGACGAGGCUUCACGGAGAAGGCGGCCGGAAGAGUAACACAGAGGAAGCUUCACGGAGUAGGCAUCAGGGAGGAGAAGGAACCAUCCGGAUAGGAGGAGAGGAGGAGCGUAUAGGAGUGAUGUGUAUUUGGAUCUCGUGUGUAUUUGCAGAUUGAAGUGGAGAAGAAAGACUUUGUGGUGGUUAAUUCUGGAUGGAAAAGAGAGAAGAAGAUAAGAGUUGGC